This 73-nucleotide transfer RNA is filed under the name Paramuricea clavata. It matches the Rfam family "tRNA". Rfam says of the family: Transfer RNA (tRNA) molecules are approximately 80 nucleotides in length. Their secondary structure includes four short double-helical elements and three loops (D, anti-codon, and T loops). Further hydrogen bonds mediate the characteristic L-shaped molecular structure. tRNAs have two regions of fundamental functional importance: the anti-codon, which is responsible for specific mRNA codon recognition, and the 3' end, to which the tRNAs corresponding amino acid is attached (by aminoacyl-tRNA synthetases). tRNAs cope with the degeneracy of the genetic code in two manners: having more than one tRNA (with a specific anti-codon) for a particular amino acid; and 'wobble' base-pairing, i.e. permitting non-standard base-pairing at the 3rd anti-codon position. The record is from Rfam by way of RNAcentral. Lineage: Eukaryota; Metazoa; Cnidaria; Anthozoa; Malacalcyonacea; Plexauridae.
GCCUCUGUACCUCAGUUGGUUAGAGCGCUGCACCGAAAUCGCAGAGCCGCAGGUUCGAUUCCUGCCAGGGACC